Molecule: ribosomal RNA, 494 nt
Filed under: uncultured bacterium
Lineage: Bacteria
Description: partial 16S ribosomal RNA
Rfam family: Bacterial small subunit ribosomal RNA
Source: RNAcentral
GACGAACGCUGGCGGCGUGCUUAAUACAUGCAAGUCGAACGGAAAGGCCUGCUUUCCCUUGUGGAUUGCGGGUACUCGAGUGGCGAACGGGUGAGUAACACGUGAGUGAUCUGCCCCCAACUUGGGUAUAAGCCUGGGAAACUGGGUCUAAUUCCCGAUAGGACUGCAGGGUGGUGCCUGUGGUGGAAAACGAUUUUCUAGUGGUUGGGGAUGAGCUCGCGGCCUAUCAGCUUGUUGGUGGGGGAAUGGCCUACCAAGGCGGCGACGGGUAGCCGGCCUGAGAGGGUGGACGGCCACAUUGGGACUGAGAUACGGCCCAGACUCCUACGGGAGGCAGCAGUGGGGAAUAUUGCACAAUGGGCGGAAGCCUGAUGCAGCGACGCCGCGUGGGGGAUGACGGCCUUCGGGUUGUAAACUCCUUUCGACCGCGAGGAAGCCACCUGGUUGGAAGGGUGGUGACGGUAGUGGUAGAAGAAGCACCGGCUAACUACGUG